CAAAUCAUCGUCAAAUAAUUGUCGAACAUGUCUGUAGUCUCAUAUUCACAGUUUAUAUAAUGUCAAAGCAUAUAAAAUUCAUUUAUAAUGAAACUUAUAACAUACGAACUUACCUUAGAUGUAAAAAUGACGGAAUAGGUCGAUUAGUCAAUAACUUUGUUUUUUCCCCCAUCUAAGUUCGAAUUUCGCUUUUCUUGAUCUAUAUGUAAUCAAAAUUAACUUAUUUAAUCAUCUUUAUUCAAUUUAUUCCAAAAUACACUUUAAAACACAUUUACACUUUUGCCCUUAUAAUUUCA
Molecule: long non-coding RNA, 296 nt
Filed under: Gossypium barbadense (sea-island cotton)
Lineage: Eukaryota; Viridiplantae; Streptophyta; Magnoliopsida; Malvales; Malvaceae
Description: long non-coding RNA (GBAR_LNC007001)
Source: RNAcentral